Molecule: ribosomal RNA, 331 nt
Filed under: uncultured bacterium
Lineage: Bacteria
Description: partial 16S ribosomal RNA
Rfam family: Bacterial small subunit ribosomal RNA
Source: RNAcentral
CCUACGGGUGGCAGCAGUGAGGAAUAUUGGUCAAUGGGCGGGAGCCUGAACCAGCCAAGUCGCGUGAGGGAAGACGGUCCUAUGGAUUGUAAACCUCUUUAGGCGGGGAUCAAGGCCGGGCAAGCGUGCCCGGAGGGAGAGUACCCGCAGAAUAAGCAUCGGCUAACUCCGUGCCAGCAGGCGCGGUAAUACGGAGGAUGCGAGCGUUAUCCGGAUUUAUGGGGUUUAAAGGGUGCGUAGGCGGAUUUUUAGGUCAGCGGUAAAAUGUCCGGGCACAACCCCGGCCGGCCGUUGAAACUGGGGAUCUUGAGUGGGCGAGAAGUAAGCGGAA